This 1446-nucleotide unclassified non-coding RNA is filed under the name uncultured fungus. RNAcentral describes it as "sequence contains 18S rRNA gene, ITS1, 5.8S rRNA gene, ITS2, 28S rRNA gene". The stretch from base 477 to 1446 matches the Rfam family "Eukaryotic large subunit ribosomal RNA", at positions 1 to 961 of the family's 3401-position model. The record is from RNAcentral. Lineage: Eukaryota; Fungi.
GGAAGGAUCAUUUAUGAGCGAGGGAUUAGUUUUAGGACUAAUGCCCAAGCGUAUAUAUCCAUAAACACUGUGAAUUGUUAAUUGGGCUUUAUACGCCCUUUACAAAACAAUGUGUAAUGAACGUUUAUUAUUAAUAAAUAAAAUAAAACUUUCAACAACGGAUCUCUUGGCUCUCGCAUCGAUGAAGAACGCAGCGAAAUGCGAUAAGUAAUGUGAAUUGCAGAAUUCAGUGAAUCAUCGAAUCUUUGAACGCACCUUGCACCUUUUGGUACUCCGAAAGGUAUGCCUGUUUGAGUGUCUGUAAAGUAUAAGGGUUAAUAGCCCGAUUUGAGCACUGCAUUAGAUUGCUUGCUUUAAAUGUGUUAGUCAGGAUUUAUCGAAAGUAACGAAGCGUAAUAAGUUUCGCUUAGUGAAGAGAUGAAUAUUGGCUUCUAAUUGCUAUUAGAGUUGAAAUAAUUCUAAGCACUAUUUAGACUCGACCUCAAAUCAGGUAGGACUACCCGCUGAACUUAAGCAUAUCAAUAAGCGGAGGAAAAGAAACUAACAAGGAUUCCCCUAGUAACGGCGAGUGAAGCGGGAAAAGCUCAAAUUUGAAAUCUGGCAUCCUUCGGGUGUCCGAGUUGUAAUCUAGAGAAGUGUUUUCUGUGCUGGACUGUAUUCAAGUUCCUUGGAAUAGGAUAUCAAAGAGGGUGAGAAUCCCGUGCUUAAUACAAUCCCCAGUGCUCUGUGAUACACUUUCAAAGAGUCGAGUUGUUUGGGAAUGCAGCUCUAAAUGGGUGGUAAAUUCCAUCUAAAGCUAAAUAUUGGCGAGAGACCGAUAGCGAACAAGUACCGUGAGGGAAAGAUGAAAAGCACUUUGGAAAGAGAGUUAAACAGUACGUGAAAUUGUUGAAAGGGAAACGAUUGAAGUCAGUCGUAUUGGAAAAGUUCAAUUAGCUUCUGCUAAUGCAUUCUUUUCUAAUGGGUCAACAUCAGUUUGAACAGGUGGAUAAGGGUGGUAGGAAAGUAGCUCUGAGUGUUAUAGCCUACUACCGUAUACACUUGUUUAGACUGAGGAACGCAGCUUGCCUCCUUAUGGGGGAUGGGGUUCGUCCCACAUUCAAGCUUAGGAUGUUGACAUAAUGGCUUUAAACGACCCGUCUUGAAACACGGACCAAGGAGUCUAACAUAUCUGCGAGUGUUUGGGUGUCAAACCCAAGCGCGUAAUGAAAGUGAAUGUAGGAGGGAUCCGUAAGGAGCACCUUUGACCGAUCCUGACUCAUUAUGUAAUGGAUUUGAGUAAGAGCAUAUAUGCUAGGACCCGAAAGAUGGUGAACUAUGCCUGAAUAGGGUGAAGCCAGGGGAAACUCUGGUGGAGGCUCGUAGCGAUUCUGACGUGCAAAUCGAUCGUCAAAUUUGGGUAUAGGGGCGAAAGACUAAUCGAACCAUCUAAUGGCUGGUUCCUGC